GCCAAUUAAUCAAAGUGGCAUUUCUGAAGAUGACCAGCACAAGUUGAGAAAAAUUCAAGAACUCACUUUUAUUCUCAAGGAAACAGACAAAAAUUUGACAGCUUGUGAAGAUAUCCUAAAAACUUACAUUGAAAAUCGAUUGAGGG
Molecule: long non-coding RNA, 146 nt
Organism: Cotesia glomerata
Lineage: Eukaryota; Metazoa; Arthropoda; Insecta; Hymenoptera; Braconidae
Exons: 2
Source: RefSeq, a predicted model, not a curated record